RNAcentral lists this ribosomal RNA (467 nucleotides) under uncultured bacterium. RNAcentral describes it as "partial 16S ribosomal RNA". It matches the Rfam family "Bacterial small subunit ribosomal RNA", at positions 28 to 506 of the family's 1533-position model. The record is from RNAcentral.
GACGAACGCUGGCGGCGUGCUUAACACAUGCAAGUCGAACGGAAAGGCCCUGCUUUUGUGGGGUGCUCGAGUGGCGAACGGGUGAGUAACACGUGAGUAACCUGCCCUUGACUUUGGGAUAACUUCAGGAAACUGGGGCUAGUACCGGAUAGGAGCUCCUGCUGCAUGGUGGGGGUUGGAAAGUUUCGGCGGUUGGGGAUGGACUCGCGGCUUAUCAGCUUGUUGGUGGGGUAGUGGCUUACCAAGGCUUUGACGGGUAGCCGGCCUGAGAGGGUGACCGGCCACAUUGGGACUGAGAUACGGCCCAGACUCCUACGGGAGGCAGCAGUGGGGAAUAUUGCACAAUGGGCGGAAGCCUGAUGCAGCAACGCCGCGUGCGGGAUGACGGCCUUCGGGUGGUAAACCGCUUUCGCCUGUGACGAAGCGUGAGUGACGGGAAUGGGUAAAGAAGCACCGGCUAACUACGU